CUAGAUUGUUGGCUAGCCGCCGCGUGUUUACACGGGGAGGAAAGUCCGGGCAGCGUAGGGCAUGACAGUUGCUAACGGCAACCGAGGGAAACCUCAGGGAAAGUGCCACAGAAACAAGACCGCCUGUUUACAGGUAAGGGUGAAACGAGUGAGGUAAGAGCUCACAGCGCCUUACGGUGACGUAAGGAGAAGGUAAACCCUGUCUGCUGCAAGGAGAUACAUCGGCAAUAGGUGACCCGCCGCUGGUGUGUCGUAAGAUCCGCUUGAUCUUGUCGGCAACGGCAAGACUAGAUAGAUGGCUGGCAAAACAGAACCCGGCUUACAGAUGGUCUAGCGUA
RNAcentral lists this RNase P RNA (338 nucleotides) under Candidatus Saccharimonadota bacterium. RNAcentral describes it as "Candidatus Saccharibacteria bacterium (sediment metagenome) RNase P RNA component class A". It matches the Rfam family "Bacterial RNase P class A". Rfam says of the family: Ribonuclease P (RNase P) is a ubiquitous endoribonuclease, found in archaea, bacteria and eukarya as well as chloroplasts and mitochondria. The record is from RNAcentral. Lineage: Bacteria; Candidatus Saccharimonadota.